CGCCGCGGCCUCUCGCCGGUUUUAAUAGCGACACCCCGCCCCUCGAGGCGUCACCCCGGUGGUUGGGUCGCUCCCCGCUGUGGCACGCGUGGGGGCGGUGGAGGCGCGAAGCCGGGAAUGCAGGUGACGGCCGAGAGGGCUGACAUCUCAACUUAAGGAGGCACCUAGAUGCCGGGACCAUGGAUGGCCUUCCUCCUAGGAAUGCUGGGAAUCCUUUCCUUCCUGAGGAGCCAGGCCUGGACACCCACACACCGUGAUGGUUUCAGCAAAGCAGCCCAGCAUGAGUUCUGACUCAGGGGUCUGACUCGCCCCCCACAGGAACGGGAGUCUGUUCCCCUAGCCCUUGAAUCUGGGCUCACCUUGUGACUCACUUUGACCGACAGAACAUGGCAGAAGUGAUGUCGUGGUCCUUCAGAGGCCUUGAGCCUCUGCCUUCAUCCCCUCGCGCUGCCCUGGGUCUGUUAUGUAAGGGAAUUUACCAGCAGAUGAGGCCGCGUGGAGAACCGAGGAGUUCCAGCCAAUAGCCAUCUGAUCUCCCCACUCAGCGGACCUGCCAGCUGGAUCCAGCCACGUGAGUGAGCCCAGGUGAAAACAGCAGAGAAAACAGCCAAGCUAAUUUUGGGGGUGAAUUGUGUGUGUCAGUGGAUAACUGAUAGGGUUUCCUAUUGCCCUUUGGAUGAAAAGAAUAUUCCAAAGUGCCCUAUAAGGUCCUGUAUGCCCUGAGCCCACCCAUGUCUCUCAGUUGGCUUCCAUUCUCUUUAGAGCCUCUAGCUUUGACCUUUGGCAUGCAUGUCCCUUUCUGCCAGAAAGCUUCUAUUCCCCUAACCCUCUUACUUUCAUGUGAGUAACCCGCACUCCUCCUCCAGCGCCCCGUAAAGCCUCCUCACCUCGUCAAAUACUACUGUAGCCUCAGGUAACACCACGUGCUUGCCUCUGGACUUUGACCAACAGAAAUUUGUGUUUUUGGAGGGGGGUGCCUGGUUUGCCUCUCCCAUCUGUAAACUCCAUGCAGGCUGUUCUGGGUCUGAUUUUGUUUACCGCUGUAUCCCUGUGCCAUACCACGGUGGGACUCGAUAAAUAAAUACUUGUUAAAUUAGUGAA
Long non-coding RNA from Felis catus (domestic cat), 1101 nucleotides. RefSeq lists it as uncharacterized. The transcript is spliced from 3 exons. Lineage: Eukaryota; Metazoa; Chordata; Mammalia; Carnivora; Felidae. The record is from RefSeq and is a predicted model, not a curated record.